UGGGGAAUAUUGGACAAUGGGCGAAAGCCUGAUCCAGCGACGCCGCGUGUGUGAAGAAGGCCUGCGGGUUGUAAAGCACUUUCGAUGGGAACGAAAUGUGCCGGGCUAAUACCCCGGCAAGCUGACGUUACUCAAUGAAGAAGCACCGGCUAACUCUGUGCCAGCAGCCGCGGUAAUACAGAGGGUGCGAGCGUUAAUCGGAAUUACUGGGCGUAAAGCGCACGUAGGUGGCGACGUAAGUCGGGUGUGAAAGCCCCGGGCUCAACCUGGGAAUUGCAUUCGAGACUGCAUUGCUGGAGUACGGAAGAGGAGGGCGGAAUUCCCGGUGUAGCGGUGAAAUGCGUAGAUAUCGGGAGGAACAUCAGUGGCGAAGGCGGCCCUCUGGUCCAGUACUGACACUCAAGUGCGAAAGCGUGGGGAGCAAACAG
RNAcentral lists this ribosomal RNA (428 nucleotides) under uncultured bacterium. RNAcentral's name for it is "bacterial SSU rRNA". It matches the Rfam family "Bacterial small subunit ribosomal RNA", at positions 355 to 775 of the family's 1533-position model. The record is from RNAcentral.